AUUGAACGCUGGCGGCAUGCCUUACACAUGCAAGUCGAACGGUAGAGUAGCAAUACUUGAGAGUGGCGAACGGGUGAGUAAUAUAUCGGAACGUGCCCGGUCGUGGGGAUAACGUAGCGAAAGCUACGCUAAUACCGCAUACGAUCUACGGAUGAAAGCGGGGGAUCGCAAGACCUCGCGCGAUUGGAGCGGCCGAUAUCAGAUUAGGUAGUUGGUGAGGUAAAGGCUCACCAAGCCGACGAUCUGUAGCUGGUCUGAGAGGACGACCAGCCACACUGGGACUGAGACACGGCCCAGACUCCUACGGGAGGCAGCAGUGGGGAAUUUUUGAACAAUGGGCGGCAAGCCUGAUCCAGCAAUGCCGCGUGCAGGAUGAAGGCCUCGG
Molecule: ribosomal RNA, 385 nt
Filed under: uncultured bacterium
Lineage: Bacteria
Description: bacterial SSU rRNA
Rfam family: Bacterial small subunit ribosomal RNA
Source: RNAcentral